CGGACCUUAUUGUGAUACAUGUAGAAAUGCCAAUCAUGAGGGUAAGAUUUUAAUAUAUGUAACAAGAGGCAGUCAUAGACAUUUGUGUCAAUCGUUUUAUUUUUAUAUUGAUGAUUAAUUUAUACUAAACUAUCAUGUUUGGUAUCUGGUUUCAGUUUCUGUCAGUAUUGAUUUUAAGUUUAUGUUUAUUGGUUAUGGAACAAAGUGACGACGCGGAAGCAAGUCUCAUAAACAAUGUACUACACACAUGCAGCAUACCAAUAAAACAGUCCAAAUUCAAACAAGGAAAACAUAAAUUAUCCAUCAAAUAUAAAUUAUUGUCUAUUCUUUAAUGACACUCUCAUUUUUCUAAAAACACCUUUCACCCCCUUCCUAUUCUAUAUAUUUUUUUCUUAUGAAUUUUAUAUUUGCUAUUGUAAUCAUUAACUGUAUUUUGUUACAUAUUUAUUCGUUUGCUAUUCAGCAGGUAUUUAUAGCUUGUAAUUUUAUUUUCGAAUUUAGGGAGACGGAUUUAUAUAAGAGCACUGCUCUUGUUUCCUAAUCCUAAUUAUUGAAUCUUUUGUAUAUUUCGUAUUUACGUCUUUACCAUUGAAGCUAUAUUUAUAACGAUUUCGUUAAUAAAAUAUGUAUACACUAGACAACAUACAAUAAUAACUACUUCUGGGGUUUUCAAGGCCAAUAGGUCAUGCGCUAGGACCCGCGUCUCUGUUACUUUCAUGAUCAGUGAGAAGAAGCAAUACCACUUCUUAUUUUGAACUUUUUUUUAUCUAUCAAAUAAUUUCUAAAAUGAUCCACGAAUAUUAUGAACCCUGAUAUAUUAAUACUGCCAAAGGUUGACCUAUAAGUAGUACAGUACGUUUUCUAAGUGUCGCUCAACAUUUUUAUAUUACUGGCAAAUGCAAUAAUACAUCUAUACCGUCUUAAGUUUGUGAAAAAAUGCACCAAUUGCAUUUCCAUUGGUAAUUCAGUAUCAUAAUAUAAUCUAGCCAAUUUCAGUACCUGAUUUCAUAACAGAUCAGAUAUUUAUCAUGAAGAUUAUCAUUCUUUUACAAAAACACAUUAUUUUGUUUUAAACGUCAGCCAUAUUUGAAAGUCCUUUGUUCGUUUAAAAAAUUGUCACGUUUGAAUGUUCCUAUUAUAGGUCAGUAGUAAUUAAAAGUUUAUUUAUAGACAAGAAGAAUUUCCACUUUAAAAUCGAAAAUUCAAACCUUUUAAUAUAUGUAAGAAAUGGCUACAUUGAGGGUAAGACUGUAGUAUGGUGUAAAAGGGGGAAGGAUUGUGCCUGAUAUUCAUAUGAUGAAAUCAUAAUCUUUCAAUCAGUUUAAUUGAAGUCUGGAGCUGGCAUGUCAGUUAACUGCUAGUAGUCUGUUGUUAUUUAUGUAUUAUUGUCAUUUUGUUUAUUUUCUUUGGUUACAUCUUCUAAAAUCAGACUCGGACUUCUCUUGAAUUGAAUUUUAAAUGUGCGUAUUGUUAUGCAUUUACUUUUCUAAAUUGGCUAGAGGUAUAGGGGGAGGGUUGAGAUCUCAUAAACAUGUUUAACCCCGCCGCAUUUUUGCGCCUGUCCUAAGUCAGGAGCCUCUGGACUUUGUUAGUCUUGUAUUUUUUUAAUUUUAGUUUCUUGUGUACAAUUCGGAAAUUAGUAUGGCGUUCAUUAUCACUGACUAGUAUAUAUUUGUUUAGGGGCCAGCUGAAGGACGCCUCCGGGUGCAGGAAUGUCUCGCUACAUUGAAGACCUGUAAGUGACCUUCUGCUGUUGUUUUUUUCUAUGGUCGGGUUGUUGUCUCUUUGACACAUUCCCCAUGUUCAUUCUCAAUUUUAGUCAUAUUAAUUGGUUUCAACCUGCUAUUUAAGUUGAUAAGUGAACUAGAUUUUUAGGUUUUCUAUCAUGCCUGAGCCCUCGUUUACACGUAUAUUUAAUUCCAAUUGAAUUCGAAUCGAAUGCGAAUCGAAUUCGCUAAUCGCGUUCACACACUCUCCUUUUUAAAUUCGAAUUGGCUAAUUCGAAUUCGCUAAUUCGAAUUAGAAAUACGUUUUUGUUAAUACGAAUUAAAAGUUAACGUCGUUUAGACAGUAAAGCGAAUUUGACGCGCAUUGUAAUUCGAAUUAGAAUUGACUUUGUUUUUCUUACAAUUUUUAAAAUGAAAAGCAUGGAUGAACAGAAUAAAUACUAUUAUUAUCUCCUUUAUUUUACUUAUUACAGGGAGAUAACUCAGUAGACUGAACCAGAAAAACUAACGUUUUUAUAAGAACACAAACCGGAAGGAAUCUUUAAUUGAUUUACAAAACUCUAUCGACUAUCAUUAAAUGAAUAAUUAGUAAAACAAAAUCAUCAGGAACAUUACAAUUUUAUUUUGUAGAAUAUAAACUGGGAAAGCAUCAUUGCAUUAGGUAUACGAGUGCUCUUUCUUGGUUUCUUGGAUAUAAUUUCCAGAUUUAGCUACCAAUACCUCGGAUGGGUAUCAUACAUUGUGCGAUGUUUAGGUAAGUGUUACAAUUUAAAGAAGACCACCUAUAUCAAAAUUUUUCUUCAGAAGUUAAUGAAAAUAUUAAUGUUUCUGAAUUUAUUGCAAUAUCUUAAAUUAAGCAUAUAAGUUUCUGACACUUUCUUGACUCAUCUUCAAACAAAAACAACUCUUUUCCAUUUAAAAAAAAAAAUCCCGGAAAAAAUAUUGAGUUUUGAAGUUUUGAAACAUAAAUGUCUUUGAAAAACGGAAAGCAAUGAAUUAUUUCACAUGUUUUAAAGUUUGUUAGAGACAAAUUUAUAUAAUGUCAUUGAUUAUUGAUUUAUUUUUUUUUCUCUCAAUUCUAAAUUCUACGUUUGUUUUGAUUUUCUGCAAUGUCUAUCUGUUUUAAACGUUCUCAUAUAAUUCAAUGGUUUAUCAGGCGAAUCUGACCUUUGAAGACAUUAAGGCAAUGGGGGUUUGGGUGUAUUUAAAUAUAUUCAUUGGACUGCUAUAGUAAUAUUAAUGUGUUUUUUUUUUGUUUUUUUUUAACUCGAUGCGAUUAUUGAGAACUAUUGCUAAUAAUUUGCUAUUAUUUUAUAAAUUUUCAGGACUCUUAUCACUUUUGGUUAUGUAUGUCUUACCAUUCAGCAUUUUGCUGACCGCCUUCAGGAUUAUGCUGGGAACUUCAAACAUAAUUAUAGCAUGGCUUGUAACAUCGUUGUUUAUAAAGUGUGGGGAAACGCCAGAAUAUCCUGUGCAUAUUUUAAUCAUUUUAAAACUUGUGCAAAUUAGUUUAAUCAUGUAUUAUUAUUGGUUUAACGAGGUUAACACACUCUAUCGGUUCGCAGUGUAUUUUUACCUCUUUUUCAUCGGAGGAACAGUGUUACAAAUUUCACCUGAUUGGAUUUUCAACGCCUUAAUUAUAGUCACAGUUUUGUGUCUUGUUUUGUUAUGUCUCCAUGUGUUUGAGAACGGAAUCUUGACUCCUGAACAGGAAAGGCAAAUAGAUCUUUACUUCCAACGUUUGGAAGGAUUUGAAUUUGAUGGCAAUAUAAAUAUAUUUCAGGGAAAGGAGUUUUCUAUUUAUUCUAUAGGUUUGUGUACUGUAUGCCUAAUUAACAACUGGCUCUUGGUUGACAUUGAUCAAGAUAUUAACAAAACUAAAUUGGUGAUUUAUACCACACUCGGCAUGUAUUGCUGUUCUGUAAUCUCUGUUUUAGCAUUUUCUACAAUUUUAAUUGAAAUUUGUAAACUUAUGUUGAAGUUCUGCUAUUUCAUUGUAAAAGGGAUGUAUGAAUACAGACAAGAAGAGCUCGGCUUACUUAUAAUGUUCAUCGUAAACGUAUAUCUUUGUACAACAGACAUGCUCUUCUUUGACAUGAAGCCGUUUGAUCGUGGUAUCUUUUUGUCCAGAAGAAUUGUCUUUCUUGCAGUUUGUUCGGUAGAACUUUGUUCAAUUAUUGUAGAACUAGCGAGUGCGGACGUGGUAGCAAGGCAACCAUCAGGAUUCAACACCCUGAGAGUUAUCGGCGUACAUAUCGUAUUUUGUAUUGGAUAUGUGGCAAUAUUAUACGGACUUUUAGUCCAGUAUUCCAUGAACGAUUUGGGGAUUUUUCUUACAACAGCUUAUUCCGUUUGUGGUUUGAUAAGAGCAUUUGCCUCGCUUUUUAUAUUUUGUCUCUAUAAAAUUGAUGAAAUUCGCCAGGAAUUCUGGGAAAACUUUGAUGAUGUGAUAUUUUACACACGCAUGACUUUGUCAACGAUUCUUAUAGUAAUUUUAAUGCCUACAGCUUGUGUCGGUGUUUGGACAAUAUUUUAUGGAUUCUACACAUGGUUUGAUUUAUAUCGACUACUAGCAAUGUGCUUUGUCCAUAUAUUCUCCGGUAUUAACGUUUUAUUAAAUACUAUGCGACAGAGGAAAAUGGUAUUUGCGUAUACUACUAUAUUAGAAGAUGCAUCAAAUUAUCAGCUAAACAGGAAUAACUGCAGUAUCUGUUUGCAUGGAAUGAUGAAAGGAAAAGUUACCCGGUGUGGUCAUGUAUUUCACGAGACAUGCAUACGAAAGUGGUUAAAUACGAGACUGGUGUGUCCAAUGUGUAACACGUCUAUUGUAAUACAUGUACAAUAAACUUUGCUUAUACAUUCCUACUUUAUUGGAAAACUUAUAAUACUUAUGGAAUUCUCAUUACCUACACGAAGACUUUUCUGCAAACGAUCAAAAUGGUACUUUAGAACACAGUUUUAAUACACACAAACUCACCAGAGGGAAUACCUAGGUAUAGAAAAAGGACAGCUUAUCUGGCUUUCGAAAAACGAACCUCUGUUUUUCCUUCUUCACAUUCAGAUGAUUUGAUACCACGUUUUGUUAAACAUAAUGAAUGAAAUGCGUAAAGCGAAUUUACCUGUAGUAAAUGCUUGAUUAUUGUUAAACGUCCAGAAAGCAAUAUUUCAGUUUUAUUUAAGACGUCAACCAGUGUGAAUGCAAUGAAUAAAAACGGUAAAAUUGGAUGAGUAAAUGGUCGAUAAUGUUAACUGAUACUAACAAUUUGAAAUUGCAAGUAGUCAACUGCGGAUCACUCAUAAAGAGCUUUGUUACAAGAGGAGUUCAUCAACAUAGAGAGAAUAUUGCAUUAUCCCGACACAAGACCUCUAAUUAUCUGCCAAAUGGUCGAUGGUUUUCGCUGGGCACUUCACCAAACUCAAAUGCAGUUCAAUGUAUGUUCAAUGCAAAAUAUAAAAAAAGGUUUUUUUUUCACCAAUUAAAACUGACUACCACGAAAUUCACACAAUUGCUGAAAGUGGCAUUAUACACCGACCAAUCAAAAAAAUAGUUAGUCCUUUUCUUUGACAAACUGUCAAACAUAUUAUGCGAUACAUGCUCAAAAUCAUGUUUGUUACUUUUAACUUUCAAUUCUUUGUCAUAUAAAUAUGUAGAUUAG
Molecule: long non-coding RNA, 5383 nt
Filed under: Mytilus galloprovincialis (Mediterranean mussel)
Lineage: Eukaryota; Metazoa; Mollusca; Bivalvia; Mytilida; Mytilidae
Source: RNAcentral